RNAcentral lists this ribosomal RNA (301 nucleotides) under uncultured bacterium. RNAcentral describes it as "partial 16S ribosomal RNA". It matches the Rfam family "Bacterial small subunit ribosomal RNA", at positions 509 to 807 of the family's 1533-position model. The record is from RNAcentral.
CAGUCGCCGCGGGAAUACGAAGGGGGCUAGCGUUGUUCGGAAUUACUGGGCGUAAAGCGCACGUAGGCGGAUACUUAAGUCAGGGGUGAAAUCCCGGGGCUCAGCCCCGGAACUGCCUUUGAUACUGGGUAUCUCGAGUCCGGAAGAGGUGAGUGGAAUUCCGAGUGUAGAGGUGAAAUUCGUAGAUAUUCGGAGGAACACCAGUGGCGAAGGCGGCUCACUGGUCCGGUACUGACGCUGAGGUGCGAAAGCGUGGGGAGCAAACAGGAUUAGAUACCCCGGUAGUCCCUGUCUCUUAUAC